Molecule: ribosomal RNA, 412 nt
Filed under: uncultured soil bacterium
Lineage: Bacteria
Description: bacterial SSU rRNA
Rfam family: Bacterial small subunit ribosomal RNA
Source: RNAcentral
CAGUCGAACGCACCGCAAGGUGAGUGGCAGACGGGUGAGUAACGCGUGGGAAUCUACCUAGCUCUUCGGAAUAGCUCCGGGAAACUGGAAUUAAUACCGAGUACGCCCUACGGGGGAAAGAUUUAUCGGAGUUAGAUGAGCCCGCGUUGGAUUAGCUAGUUGGUGGGGUAAUGGCCUACCAAGGCGACGAUCCAUAGCUGGUCUGAGAGGAUGAUCAGCCACACUGGGACUGAGACACGGCCCAGACUCCUACGGGAGGCAGCAGUGGGGAAUAUUGGACAAUGGGCGCAAGCCUGAUCCAGCCAUGCCGCGUGAGUGAUGAAGGCCUUAGGGUUGUAAAGCUCUUUCGGUGGGGAAGAUAAUGACGGUACCCACAGAAGAAGCCCCGGCUAACUUCGUGCCAGCAGCCGCG